CACGGAUAACAUACCGAAAGGUAUGCUAAUACGGGAUAAUAUAUUUGAGAGGCAUCUCUUAAAUAUCAAAGGUGAGCCAGUACAGGAUGGACCCGCGUCUGAUUAGCUAGUUGGUAAGGUAACGGCUUACCAAGGCGACGAUCAGUAGCCGACCUGAGAGGGUGAUCGGCCACAUUGGAACUGAGACACGGUCCAAACUCCUACGGGAGGCAGCAGUGGGGAAUAUUGCACAAUGGGCGAAAGCCUGAUGCAGCAACGCCGCGUGAGUGAUGAAGGCCUUCGGGUCGUAAAACUCUGUCCUCAAGGAAGAUAAUGACGGUACUUGAGGAGGAAGCCCCGGCUAACUACGUGCCAGCAGCCGCGGUAAUACGUAGGGGGCUAGCGUUAUCCGGAUUUACUGGGCGUAAAGGGUGCGUAGGCGGUCUUUCAAGUCAGGAGUGAAAGGCUACGGCUCAACCGUAGUAAGCUCUUGAAACUGGGAGACUUGAGCGCAGGAGAGGAGAGUGGAAUUCCUAGUGUAGCGGUGAAAUGCGUAGAUAUUAGGAGGAACACCAGUUGCGAAGGCGGCUCUCUGGACUGUAACUGACGCUGAGGCACGAAAGCGUGGGGAGCAAACAGGAUUAGAUACCCUGGUAGUCCACGCUGUAAACGAUGAGUACUAGGUGUCGGGGGUUACCCCCUUCGGUGCCGCAGCUAACG
This 699-nucleotide ribosomal RNA is filed under the name uncultured bacterium. Its description in RNAcentral is "bacterial SSU rRNA". It matches the Rfam family "Bacterial small subunit ribosomal RNA", at positions 138 to 857 of the family's 1533-position model. The record is from RNAcentral.